Molecule: long non-coding RNA, 273 nt
Organism: Sinocyclocheilus grahami
Lineage: Eukaryota; Metazoa; Chordata; Actinopteri; Cypriniformes; Cyprinidae
Exons: 3
Source: RefSeq, a predicted model, not a curated record
GUGGGAUGGCUGCAGACAUUUGUCCAGAUCCGGGGAUUCCUGAGAAUGGGAAAAGAACUGGCUCCAGCUUCCAGGUCGGAGCCAGCAUCCAGUUUUCCUGUGACGACAGCUACGUAUUGCAGGGAUCAAAGAGCAUCACUUGCCAGAGAGUGACUGAGACCCUGGUGGCCUGGAGUGACCACAGGCCUAUCUGUCGGACUAGGACCUGUGGCUCUAAUCUGCGGGGCCCUAAAGGCAUCAUAACGUCUCCAAAUUACCCCGUCCAGUAUGAGA